This 262-nucleotide ribosomal RNA is filed under the name uncultured bacterium. RNAcentral describes it as "partial 16S ribosomal RNA". It matches the Rfam family "Bacterial small subunit ribosomal RNA", at positions 511 to 772 of the family's 1533-position model. The record is from RNAcentral.
GCAGCCGCGGUAAUACGUAGGGGGCAAGGGUUGUCCGGAAUUAUUGGGCGUAAAGCGCGCGCAGGCGGCCAUGUAAGUCUGAUGUGAAAGCCCCCGGCUCAACCGGGGAGGGUCAUUGGAAACUGGGGAACUUGAGUGCAGAAGAGAAGAGUGGAAUUCCACGUGUAGCGGUGAAAUGCGUAGAGAUGUGGAGGAACACCAGUGGCGAAGGCGACUCUUUGGUCUGUAACUGACGCUGAGGCGCGAAAGCGUGGGGAGCAAA